Molecule: unclassified non-coding RNA, 398 nt
Filed under: Hevea brasiliensis (rubber tree)
Lineage: Eukaryota; Viridiplantae; Streptophyta; Magnoliopsida; Malpighiales; Euphorbiaceae
Source: RNAcentral
GGUGUAUCUGGAGAAAGACCCAAAAAUACUCCAAAAGCACGGAUGGGUGACCAUGCUGUUUUAAUGGAACCAUCAACAGAACAAGCAUGGGUUACAGAAGAUAGAGACAUUUCAUUGGUUGAUUCCAAGACUCCAGAUUCUGUUAUGUCCAUGAAACACCUUAUUGCAGCUGCUCAAGCUAAAAGGAAAGAAGCUCACUCACAAGCUCACUCGCAACAUUUCUCUCUUGGAAACCCUAAUUCUUUUAUGUCCAUCAAUGAUCCUCAGGGAAGAAGUCCCAGUCCCUCAUCACUCCAACCAUUUUUAUCUGGCUCCAGCACUGUGUUACAGAAUGAUCUACAGAGCUUUCAACAUCGCACAAAUGUACUUUCUCCAUCAACUCAUGGUCAUCAAUCAGC